GUGAGGGAAAGGCGAAAAGAACCCCGGCGAGGGGAGUGAAAAAGAACCUGAAACCGUGUACGUACAAGCAGUGGGAGCACCCUUCGGGGUGUGACUGCGUACCUUUUGUAUAAUGGGUCAGCGACUUAUAUUCUGUAGCAAGGUUAACCGUAUAGGGGAGCCGGAGGGAAACCGAGUCUUAACCGGGCGUUAAGUUGCAGGGUAUAGACCCGAAACCCGGUGAUCUAGCCAUGGGCAGGUUGAAGGUUGGGU
RNAcentral lists this ribosomal RNA (252 nucleotides) under Salmonella enterica subsp. enterica serovar Typhimurium. RNAcentral describes it as "partial 23S ribosomal RNA". It matches the Rfam family "Bacterial large subunit ribosomal RNA", at positions 503 to 757 of the family's 2925-position model. The record is from RNAcentral. Lineage: Bacteria; Pseudomonadati; Pseudomonadota; Gammaproteobacteria; Enterobacterales; Enterobacteriaceae.